This 397-nucleotide ribosomal RNA is filed under the name uncultured bacterium. RNAcentral describes it as "partial 16S ribosomal RNA". It matches the Rfam family "Bacterial small subunit ribosomal RNA", at positions 523 to 918 of the family's 1533-position model. The record is from RNAcentral.
AUACGUAGGGGGCGAGCGUUGUCCGGAAUGAUUGGGCGUAAAGGGCGCGUAGGCGGCCCGGUAAGUCUGGAGUGAAAGUCCUGUUUUUAAGAUGGGAAUUGCUUUGGAUACUGUCGGGCUUGAGUGCAGGAGAGGUAAGUGGAAUUCCCAGUGUAGCGGUGAAAUGCGUAGAGAUUGGGAGGAACACCAGUGGCGAAGGCGACUUACUGGACGGUAACUGACGCUGAGGCGCGGAAGCGUGGGGAGCAAACAGGAUUAGAUUCCCUGGUAGUCCACGCUGUAAACGAUGAAUACUAGGUGUAGGGGGUAUCGACGCCCUCUGUGCCGCAGUUAACACAAUAAGUAUUCCGCCUGGGGAGUACGGCCGCAAGGUUGAAACUCAAAUGAAUUGACGGGG